This 2915-nucleotide ribosomal RNA is filed under the name Escherichia coli. RNAcentral's name for it is "partial 23S ribosomal RNA". It matches the Rfam family "Bacterial large subunit ribosomal RNA". The record is from RNAcentral. Lineage: Bacteria; Pseudomonadati; Pseudomonadota; Gammaproteobacteria; Enterobacterales; Enterobacteriaceae.
GUUAAGCGACUAAGCGUACACGGUGGAUGCCCUGGCAGUCAGAGGCGAUGAAGGACGUGCUAAUCUGCGAUAAGCGUCGGUGAGGUGAUAUGAACCGUUAUAACCGGCGAUUUCCGAAUGGGGAAACCCAGUGUGUUUCGACACACUAUCAUUAACUGAAUCCAUAGGUUAAUGAGGCGAACCGGGGGAACUGAAACAUCUAAGUACCCCGAGGAAAAGAAAUCAACCGAGAUUCCCCCAGUAGCGGCGAGCGAACGGGGAGGAGCCCAGAGCCUGAAUCAGUGUGUGUGUUAGUGGAAGCGUCUGGAAAGGCGCGCGAUACAGGGUGACAGCCCCGUACACAAAAAUGCACAUAUUGUGAGCUCGAUGAGUAGGGCGGGACACGUGGUAUCCUGUCUGAAUAUGGGGGGACCAUCCUCCAAGGCUAAAUACUCCUGACUGACCGAUAGUGAACCAGUACCGUGAGGGAAAGGCGAAAAGAACCCCGGCGAGGGGAGUGAAAAAGAACCUGAAACCGUGUACGUACAAGCAGUGGGAGCCUCUUUAUGGGGUGACUGCGUACCUUUUGUAUAAUGGGUCAGCGACUUAUAUUCUGUAGCAAGGUUAACCGAAUAGGGGAGCCGAAGGGAAACCGAGUCUUAACUGGGCGUUAAGUUGCAGGGUAUAGACCCGAAACCCGGUGAUCUAGCCAUGGGCAGGUUGAAGGUUGGGUAACACUAACUGGAGGACCGAACCGACUAAUGUUGAAAAAUUAGCGGAUGACUUGUGGCUGGGGGUGAAAGGCCAAUCAAACCGGGAGAUAGCUGGUUCUCCCCGAAAGCUAUUUAGGUAGCGCCUCGUGAAUUCAUCUCCGGGGGUAGAGCACUGUUUCGGCAAGGGGGUCAUCCCGACUUACCAACCCGAUGCAAACUGCGAAUACCGGAGAAUGUUAUCACGGGAGACACACGGCGGGUGCUAACGUCCGUCGUGAAGAGGGAAACAACCCAGACCGCCAGCUAAGGUCCCAAAGUCAUGGUUAAGUGGGAAACGAUGUGGGAAGGCCCAGACAGCCAGGAUGUUGGCUUAGAAGCAGCCAUCAUUUAAAGAAAGCGUAAUAGCUCACUGGUCGAGUCGGCCUGCGCGGAAGAUGUAACGGGGCUAAACCAUGCACCGAAGCUGCGGCAGCGACACUAUGUGUUGUUGGGUAGGGGAGCGUUCUGUAAGCCUGUGAAGGUGGCCUGUGAGGGUUGCUGGAGGUAUCAGAAGUGCGAAUGCUGACAUAAGUAACGAUAAAGCGGGUGAAAAGCCCGCUCGCCGGAAGACCAAGGGUUCCUGUCCAACGUUAAUCGGGGCAGGGUGAGUCGACCCCUAAGGCGAGGCCGAAAGGCGUAGUCGAUGGGAAACAGGUUAAUAUUCCUGUACUUGGUGUUACUGCGAAGGGGGGACGGAGAAGGCUAUGUUGGCCGGGCGACGGUUGUCCCGGUUUAAGCGUGUAGGCUGGUUUUCCAGGCAAAUCCGGAAAACCAAGGCUGAGGCGUGAUGACGAGGCACUACGGUGCUGAAGCGACAAAUGCCCUGCUUCCAGGAAAAGCCUCUAAGCAUCAGGUAACAUCAAAUCGUACCCCAAACCGACACAGGUGGUCAGGUAGAGAAUACCAAGGCGCUUGAGAGAACUCGGGUGAAGGAACUAGGCAAAAUGGUGCCGUAACUUCGGGAGAAGGCACGCUGAUAUGUAGGUGAAGCGACUUGCUCGUGGAGCUGAAAUCAGUCGAAGAUACCAGCUGGCUGCAACUGUUUAUUAAAAACACAGCACUGUGCAAACACGAAAGUGGACGUAUACGGUGUGACGCCUGCCCGGUGCCGGAAGGUUAAUUGAUGGGGUUAGCGGUAACGCGAAGCUCUUGAUCGAAGCCCCGGUAAACGGCGGCCGUAACUAUAACGGUCCUAAGGUAGCGAAAUUCCUUGUCGGGUAAGUUCCGACCUGCACGAAUGGCGUAAUGAUGGCCAGGCUGUCUCCACCCGAGACUCAGUGAAAUUGAACUCGCUGUGAAGAUGCAGUGUACCCGCGGCAAGACGGAAAGACCCCGUGAACCUUUACUAUAGCUUGACACUGAACAUUGAGCCUUGAUGUGUAGGAUAGGUGGGAGGCUUUGAAGUGUGGACGCCAGUCUGCAUGGAGCCGACCUUGAAAUACCACCCUUUAAUGUUUGAUGUUCUAACGUUGGCCCGUAAUCCGGGUUGCGGACAGUGUCUGGUGGGUAGUUUGACUGGGGCGGUCUCCUCCUAAAGAGUAACGGAGGAGCACGAAGGUUGGCUAAUCCUGGUCGGACAUCAGGAGGUUAGUGCAAUGGCAUAAGCCAGCUUGACUGCGAGCGUGACGGCGCGAGCAGGUGCGAAAGCAGGUCAUAGUGAUCCGGUGGUUCUGAAUGGAAGGGCCAUCGCUCAACGGAUAAAAGGUACUCCGGGGAUAACAGGCUGAUACCGCCCAAGAGUUCAUAUCGACGGCGGUGUUUGGCACCUCGAUGUCGGCUCAUCACAUCCUGGGGCUGAAGUAGGUCCCAAGGGUAUGGCUGUUCGCCAUUUAAAGUGGUACGCGAGCUGGGUUUAGAACGUCGUGAGACAGUUCGGUCCCUAUCUGCCGUGGGCGCUGGAGAACUGAGGGGGGCUGCUCCUAGUACGAGAGGACCGGAGUGGACGCAUCACUGGUGUUCGGGUUGUCAUGCCAAUGGCACUGCCCGGUAGCUAAAUGCGGAAGAGAUAAGUGCUGAAAGCAUCUAAGCACGAAACUUGCCCCGAGAUGAGUUCUCCCUGAGACUUAGAGUCUCCUGAAGGAACGUUGAAGACGACGACGUUGAUAGGCCGGGUGUGUAAGCGCAGCGAUGCGUUGAGCUAACCGGUACUAAUGAACCGUGAGGCUUAACCUUACAACGCCGAAG